This is a long non-coding RNA of Mesocricetus auratus (golden hamster), 2328 nucleotides long. RefSeq lists it as uncharacterized. NCBI's taxonomy places the organism in Eukaryota, Metazoa, Chordata, Mammalia, Rodentia, Cricetidae. The record is from RefSeq and is a predicted model, not a curated record. The transcript has 4 exons.
CCUCCUACAGCUUAUAUUUGACCAUAUCCCUGCAUUCUUUUGCCUGCUGUCUUCCACUGCCACCACAGGUUUCUUCACUGGGACAAGAGAGUUGCCUGGCUCAUGGCCCUGAUUUUAGGGUCAGAUCAUUACUCAUCAGCUCUACCAGUUAAGCGGCAGGUGACCUUGUCAAGCUCCUGGAAUGGUCCUGCCCACAUCAGGAUGGAUCUUCUCACUUCAGAUUUUUUCCUCCUAUUUUAUGAAGACUGGUUCAGUGGCCACUGUUUGCCCUCUGAAUACACCUUUGAGAUCACACCUUCCUAACCAUGUGGCUGAGAAAUUCUGAGUAAAGGAAGUAUUCUAAGGACUGGUCCCAUUAGACUUCAUGAACAUCCGGAGCCUGAAGGGAAAACUGAGGAGAAAAUGGAGUGUUCUUGCCAUACUUGGCCUGGGGGCCAACAUCUGAGACUUCUAGAGCUUAGCAUGCACUUUUGCACAUGAGUCAAGCCAGGACCAAGAGACGUCAAGCUGUGAGUGUGUUGGUCAUUGGAAACAGCAGAUUCCAAACAGCUGCCUCACUAACCCAUUCCUUCAGAGGCCUCAUUUGUGCCAGCUACUUGUCUCUGUCAUCUGAUCCUGCCCGGCUCUGCAGCACAGAUGUGAAAUACAAAGAGAACAUGCCAUUGGAUUUCAUUUCUAAAAGUGGAUCCUAUGCAGUUUACCAUGGGUUGUUUAAAAUAUGAAUGCCCUCAUCUCCAAAGGGUUCCUGUAGCUUCCUGUAGCAGCAGCUCUGGGCAGUGGAGUGUGCCUGCAAGUUACUCCUGGCUGUGAAACCAUUACACAUGAUUGCAGUUUGGGGCUUGCUUGAGGGCAGCAGCUUGUAGGUGCUUGGUUUAGUUCAUUUCAGAGUUGCUUGGGAUUGGGAGUCACUAGAAAACCUGAUUUAUUCAUCAGGAUAUCAGGAGCUCCCAGAAGUCAGGACAUAUAGCUUACUUGCUCUUCCUUCCAGCAUAGGGGGCAGACAUAGAGGAGAUUUUUGUUUUAAAAAUAAGAUUACAUCUUUACUGAGGUACAGUCAUGAAGAGUCAACCACAUGCAUUUCAAGCAUUCUACUUGAUGGCUUUUGGUAGAUGCCAACACCCAGGAAACCAAUACCAUAGUCAAAAUUGUGAACACACCCACCAGCCUCAGGUAUUCUUAGGAACCUAUAUUAGCCUCUCCACCUUCUCUCACCAUUCCCAGACAACCUCUCGUCUAUUUCUGCCACUACAGGUUAGGCUGCAUUCUCUAGAACUUUAUACCAACAGUCACACACAUGUUCUCUAGUUUUUGGUCUGUUUAUUUUCACUGAGCAUAUAACUACCUUGAAACUCACUGAUACAUUAAUAGUUUCUCCAUUGUAUGAAUCCCAAUAGGCACUUACUGUUUCUUCACAGACCUGGAAAUUAAUCCUUAAAGAUAUAAUUGGGAAGAAGAGAUGAGGCAAUGGGUUCCAGUCUAUUCUGAGUGAGAAGUCUCACUCAGGAAAACAUAAUAUAAUUGGGAAGUGAGUAGGCAUGGGGGAUGUCUUUCUUGUUGUCUGAUAUCUGUUACAUGUCUUCUACCAUAACUGACCUCUGGUUGGGCACAGAACUAUUUGGAAUAAAGAUUCUAUUUGCCGGCCUUCUGUGAAGGUAAGUGUGGUUAUGUGACAGAAUUGUGGUUGACAUAAUGGAAGCAGGAGAGUGUGAAAUUUUUUAGAAGUCUCCUCGAAGGAGGAAGGAUUUGCUCCUCUUUGUAUUCUCACUGCCUGGCAUGCAGCCAUAAUGUCUCGUGAUCAAGCAGCCAUUUUGGACCAGAAAGAACCUCAAGAAUGGGAAUCAUUCAUGGCAGAGAAAUAAUGAAGAACAGGCCUGGGUUUCUGAUACUGUAGAGUGCCACACCAGACCUGAGCUAAUGGCUUCCAGACUUGGUGACUGUGGGAGAGAAAUAGCAUUCUCUUGUUUACUUUCUCCUCCCCGAGAUGAGUUCUCUUCGGUGCCUUUCUGUUUCUUGCCACAGAAAAGGUCUGGGGGUACAGUGGUGAGUUGAGAGCAAGUCAGGAUGGAAACGACAGAGCGAGGUAGAGUGAGAAGCACUCUAGGGUGAGUGCCAAGAUACUCGCAUCAUGUGAUGUGAUGUGACAUCUAGCUCUACAGCAGGGGGAGAUCUGACUAGAAGUGUGAUAUCAGCUGGUGGAACAGCUUCUUGUGAGCUCUGGAGAAUCAUUCCUUUAUUUAUUAGUUUUAUUAUUUUUUAAAUCUAGACAUGGAAAUUACUUCCAUGAAUGGGCACCAUCUGGUGUCUCUAUUCAUGUGUACGCUGUGUCAU